Echinops telfairi (small Madagascar hedgehog) is the source of this 159-nucleotide small nuclear RNA. Its record names the gene U1. It matches the Rfam family "U1 spliceosomal RNA". Rfam says of the family: U1 is a small nuclear RNA (snRNA) component of the spliceosome (involved in pre-mRNA splicing). The record is from Ensembl. Lineage: Eukaryota; Metazoa; Chordata; Mammalia; Afrosoricida; Tenrecidae.
AUACUUACCUGGCAGGGGAGAUACCAUGACCACGCAGGUGGUUUUCCCAGGGUUUUCCCUGUGCACUCCGGAUGUGCUGAUCCCUGCGAUUUCCCCAAAUGCGGUAAGCUCGACUGCAUAAUUUGUGGUAGUGGGGGACUGCUUUCGCGCUCUCCCCUG